Molecule: ribosomal RNA, 429 nt
Filed under: Bacteroidota bacterium
Lineage: Bacteria; Pseudomonadati; Bacteroidota
Description: Bacteroidetes bacterium partial 16S ribosomal RNA
Rfam family: Bacterial small subunit ribosomal RNA
Source: RNAcentral
UAGGGAAUCUUCCGCAAUGGACGCAAGUCUGACGGAGCAACGCCGCGUGAGUGAAGAAGGAUUUCGGUUCGUAAAACUCUGUUGUUAGAGAAGAACAGCGCAUAGAGUAACUGUUAUGCGUGUGACGGUAUCUAACCAGAAAGCCACGGCUAACUACGUGCCAGCAGCCGCGGUAAUACGUAGGUGGCAAGCGUUGUCCGGAUUUAUUGGGCGUAAAGCGAGCGCAGGCGGUCAAUUAAGUCUGAUGUGAAAGCCCCCGGCUCAACCGGGGAGGGUCAUUGGAAUCUGGUUGACUUGAGUGCAGAAGAGGAGAGUGGAAUUCCAUGUGUAGCGGUGAAAUGCGUAGAUAUAUGGAGGAACACCGGUGGCGAAAGCGGCUCUCUGGUCUGUAACUGACGCUGAGGCUCGAAAGCGUGGGGAGCGAACAGG